RNAcentral lists this ribosomal RNA (539 nucleotides) under Entamoeba sp. RNAcentral's name for it is "bacterial SSU rRNA". It matches the Rfam family "Eukaryotic small subunit ribosomal RNA", at positions 52 to 592 of the family's 1831-position model. Lineage: Eukaryota; Evosea; Mastigamoebida; Endamoebidae. The record is from RNAcentral.
UGCAUGUGAAAGUAUAAAGUCCAAGAAGGAUGAAACUGCGAACGGCUCAUUAGAACAGUUAUAGUUUCUUCGAUUAGUAAGUACAAGGAUAGCUUUGUGAAUGAUAAAGAUAAUACUUGAGACGAUCUUGGAUGUAGAGACACAUUCAGGCCUUUGCAUCAUAAAAUGGUGUGAAGAGAAAGGAUAUCCAAACUGAUUGUGGGUAUCAUGACAAUUGUAGAAUAGCGAUAUUUAACAAGUAAUCGAUGAGAAUAUCUGAUCUAUCAACUAGUUGGUAGUAUCGAGGACUACCAAGGUUAUAACGGAUAACGAGGAAUUAGGGUUUGACAUCGGAGAGGGAGCUUUCAAGAUGGCUACCACUUCCAAGGAAGGCAGCAGCCGCGUAAAUUACCCAAUUUCAACAGAUAGAAGAGGUAGUGACGACAAAUAACUCACGACAUGCGUAAGCAUGUCUUGAAGGAAUGAGUAAGAAGCAAAGAGUCUUACGAAAUCAAUUGGAGGGCAAGUCUGGUGCCAGCAGCCGCGGUAAUUCCAGCUCC